CUGUUUUUUGUUCCUUCUCUUUUGAAAUCUCUAGCCAACAAGAACAUUAGUCAUGACAAGCAUGCCAUCUGAAACACAGAACAUCGUCAUCCAGGUUGUGAACACAUUGAAGGGCUUUUCACUUGCCCAGGAAGUGUGUGAAACUACUACCCAUGUGCUCGCUGGCAAGCCUCUGCGCACUCUGAAUGUGCUGCUGGGAAUUGCCCGUGGCUGCUGGGUUCUCUCUUACGAGUGGGUACUGUGGUCUUUGGAGCUGGGUCAUUGGAUUUCCGAGGAGCCGUUUGAACUUUCUAACUACUUCCCCGCAGCUCCUCUCUGCCGCCUGGAGCGCUACUUAUCUGCGGGACAGUACCAGGGAACCCUGUUUGCCGACCAGCCUGUGAUGUUCAUCACCCCGGCCAGCAACCCCCCCAGAACCAAGCUAUGGGAACUGGUCCUCCUCUGUGGGGGUCAGAUCACGAGAAUCCCACGCCAGGCCGGCAUCUUCAUCGGACCCUCCCAAGGAAGGAGGAGGGCGACCGUCAAGUAUCUGUCAGAAACAUGGAUCUUAGAGUGGUGAAAUCCUCACCCGUGAGGUGAGUCCCCCUGACUCUGGCCACUGCCCCGGUCUGCACCCAGUCCUCUGUGGUGAGAUUCCAUCACUCAGCACCAGGUCUGUGCCUCUGAAAACUACCUGUUGCUUCAGUGAUGGAGCCAUCAGUCAGCACAUGGCUACCGCCACCGGCUCGCAACGUUGUCUUUGGACAUUCAAAUGAGCAAACCCUGACGAGAAGGAAAGGACACAACACGAUGCCUUUUGACACCAUCACCUGUUUGCCUUGUGUGCCUUGUGGUUUUUACAUAAAGAAGCUCCUUUGUGUGACUUUCUGAUGACUGAAUGUGUUUUAAAGAAGCACUGCCAGCCUAUAGGGGCCUUUUCUGUAUAAUGCCAAUCUUAGUAUUGUGAUAACGAUCAUGAUUAAAAGCUCACAGAACCUUGGUCAUUAAAGCACCCAUAGUGUUAAAUAAAGACUGGGAAUUAAAUUGUUUGAUUAGUGAGAUCCAACAACCCCCAAAGUUUCUUGGUUGGACUCUAACAUCUUUAUUGGCGUACCAUACACUAACUAUGAAGGAUGUUGAUCAGUUUAUUAGAUUUUUGUCAAAGUAAUGAAUGAAGACAGGUGUAGGAGCUUUGCAAUAAUUAAUGCCACCAGAGGAUCUCCAAUUCUCCAAGUUAGUGUUUGGUGAGGACAACAUUACCAACAAGAGAUCGUGGCCUUCACUGGCUGCCACAAUGCUUGGCUUUCCUUAGAGGAAAUCGGCAGUGGGACUGAAUCAUUACACGUGGACCCAUCACCUUCUAUAGGAGAGAAGUGCUACAUCCCAACAAGGCUGAAGGUGCCACUAAGACUCCCUCCUGAUCCUGUUCCCUCCCCAUGCUAUCUCUUCCUCAUCUCACCUGUUAUUCCUACCUUAACAAAUUUCCAGCCCCUCAGUGGAACAACUUCUAGAAUAAACCGUCAAGGAAGGAGAUAGAAAUGUGCAGGGAAAAUAAUGAAGGGUUUUCUCUUAAUUUUGAUAUAAUAUAUGCCCCAAAUAAUCCCCUCGUAUUACUCAUGCCCCAACAACAGUCAUUCCUCAGUACAACUCCACUCCUUCCACGUUAUAAACCUUGUUUCACUAUAUCCAUGGGAGUGCUGGGUUUGGCUACUUUGAACCUCAGGUACUUUGGCAGAGCUCUCACAACACCAAAAAUUCCUGAAGAGGCUGACAAAAACCGUGCUGACGCUUGCUGUGGAUCAUCCCCUACCGCUAUAGGCCACCGACAACCACCCAUCCCCAGUGUCAAGUCCUGAUUCCCAAUGCUGGCCUGCCAGUGGUCAGCCAAGAUUCUCUUUCUAUACAGCAACAUUUUAUGAGGGUACUGAUUUGUGUCAGGAAUUACACUAAGCAUCUUCUAUGUGGUUUCUCAUUUAACCCUAACACCCUUAAAAGUUAGUUGCUACAGAUUUGCAAUCCCUUACCUGAAACACACAGAGUUAAGAGUAUCUCAGAAUUCUUUUUUUUAUUUAAAAGUUUUUUAAUAUUUAUUUUUGAGAGAGAACACGAGCAGGGGAGGGGCAGAGAGAGGGAGACACAGAAUCCAAAGCAGGAGACACAAAUCCAAUCCAGGCUUUGAGCUGUCAGCACAGAGCUUGAUACAGGGCUCAAGCCCAUAAGUCAUGAGAUCAUGACCUGAGCCAAAGUCGGACACUUAACUGACUGAGCCACCCAGGUGCCCCAAGAGUAUCUCAGAAUUCUUUUUUUUUUUUUUAAUUUUGAAAGGCAGGUGGCUCUCACCAUUUCCAUGUAAGAUUGUAUUGCUCAGUAUACCAAGAGAAGGCAGCAAGAAAAAAGAAGGCAUGCAGACUGGAAAUGAAGAAGUAAAACUAUUUUCAGAUCACAGGAUACUACAUGUAGAAAAUUAUAAGGAAACAAAUACAGAGCACGUUUAGCAAGGUUACAGUGUAUGAAAUUUACAUAACUAGCUGAAUUGUAUUUCUGUUUGCUGCAAUAAACAAUUCACAAAUGGAAUUAAGAAUACAUUUCCAACACUGAGAAAGGCUUAUUGAGAAGAUGGCAGAGUAGUAUGGGGACCCUGAGCUUGUCUCAUCCCUGAAACUCAGCUACAUCAGCACCAACCCAUUUUGAACACCUAAGAAAUUGAGGAAUAACACAAUAAUCUGCAAAACUUGAGCCACAAAACUCAGGAGGUAUGCUGUGUGGAGAGAUGAACUGGGGGAGAGAAAAGCCGCAGAGGGUAGGAAGUCCUUUUCUCAGAGAGAGGACAGAGGGAAAAAAAAAAAAAAAGAAAGGGGGAGUCCAUCGCAUUGGUACCAUGCAAGAAAAGCACUUCCCCAAAAGGUAGCUGGAGAGAAAGAGUGAAAACACUCACAGGGGACUGAACAAGAAAUCUGUUACCCAAAACCAUUGACGGGAAGAAAGGAGAGGGUUUCAAUACCACAGGAUUCUAUAAACAGUGGAGGAGAGUCUGAACUUCCACAACUCAGUGCCUGGUGGUGCUCUGGUGAGGAAGCAGGGCGAAUCCUCAGGAACAGGCAGCAGAGUCUGAGGGGCCAUGUGCCACAUGGGGAGAAGCGGUUCCCCUGAUUGGAGGGCAUGUGGUAGAGGCUAUACGGCCUCCCCACAAAGAUCCCAGGAGACUCCAGAGAACAGUCACAUUUGCUGGUACUGGAACAAAGAUGUCAGAGUGUGGUGAAUCCCGGCGCCAGCUGUGUGUUGUGAUUUGCCAUAAUCUCUGAACCUCUGCUUCUGUGCAAUCGCAUGAAUGUUUUCUGGGGCAAGCUGGUACCCAGCCAUUGCUCAGUGAGACCCUCCCCCAGAGAGUUGGCAAGAGUCCAAGCCACGGGGGUCUCUGAAGUUAGGGGUGUUGAAACACAGCCCCAUCUGAGAUAAAACUCUGGAGGGAGGUGCUGCCUGGCAGGCGGUCAGCUUGGACACAGACAGGGUAGAGGUGGGGAAUAGAUGGAGGCCUCAGACAAAGGAAGGGUGCUUGAUCCCGGGUCAGUGAGAGCACAAAGUUCCUGUGCCAGAGACUAGGUUGCUGAGUGAAGCCAUUUCCACCUCUCCUGCACAAGCACAUGUGCGCGCGCGUGCACACACACACGUACGUGCACCACACUGAUCCACCCCAGUAAGCUAAGCAGCACCACCUUGUGGAGAACGGAGCCAUUACACCAAGCCCCACCCACCUGCACCCUCCAGACACAUCCCCCAGAAGACCAGGAUAAGUUCUCCAUCUGCUUAUUGUAUGCAUUAUAGAGGGCCUCACGGUUUCAGUUCUAGGGGAAACUGGAUAUAACUUCAUUUGAGUUUCAUUCUGUUUGCUGGUCUGUUUAUUUGUUUACUUUGCUUCUGUUUUUGAUGUUUUUCUUUUUCUUGGAUACAGAAAGGGCAAAUUCUUUUUUUAUUUUUUCCUUUAUUUUUUCUAUCUUUUCUUCUAUUUUCUUUAAAUUUUUCUUUAAUUUUUAAAUAUUGUUUAACUUUUUUUUCCUUUCUCUUUUUUGUCUAGUCUUUCAAGCUUCCCUCAACAAACAGACUGAAACACACCUAAGGCUCUAACUUCCUUUAUUUGAUUUUUUGUUUUGUUUUUUAUUUUUUAAUUUUUCUUUUUUCUUUUGUUCAUCUUUUUCUUCUUCCAAAAGGACAAGAUGGAAGAAUUCACCCCAAAAUGACAGCCAGAGAUUUCACCAACACAGAUGUGAGUAAGAUGUCUCACUAGAAUUUGAAACCAUGAUUAUAAGAAUACUACCUGGGAUUGAAAAAAGUAUAGAAGACAUUGGCAAAUCCCUUUCUGCGGAGAUGAAAGAAGAAAAAUCUAAUCAGGCCAAAAUAAAAAAAUGCUAUAACUGAGAUGCAAUCUUGAAUGGAUGUUGUGAUGGCAAGGAUGGACAAAGCAGAGCAGUGAAUCACUGAAAUAGAAGACAAAAUUAUGGAAAAUAAUGAAGCAGAAAAAAAGAAAGAAAGUCCAAAGAUAACAAUACAAGACUUAGAGAACUCAGUGACUUAUUAAAAAGGAAUAGUAUUCAAAUCAUAGGAGUCCCAGAAGAAGAAAAAAGAGAAAAAGGGACAGAAAGUUUAUGUGAGCAAAUUAUAGCACAAAACUCUCCUAAUCCGGGGAAGACACAGACAUCAAAAUCCAAGAAGCACAGAGAACUCGCAUCAUUAGAUUCCACAAAAACUGGCCGUCACCAACCAUAUCAUAGUCAAAUUCACAAAAAUACACAGACAAGGAAAGAAUCUUGAAAGUAACAAUAGGAAAAAAAGUCCUUGCAGCAGACCUAUCCACAGGAACUCAGCAGGAUAGAAAGGAAUGGUAGGAUAUAUUCAACGUGCUGAAAAAGAAAAAUAUGCAGUCAAGAAUUCCUUAUCCAGCAAGGCUGUCAUUCAAAAUAGGAGAGAUAAAGGGUUUCCUAGACCAAAAAAAAAAAAAAAAAAUACUAAAGGAAUUCAUGACCACUAAAC
RNA transcript from Panthera uncia (snow leopard), 5004 nucleotides. It is a transcript of the gene named microcephalin 1, with no coding region annotated. Lineage: Eukaryota; Metazoa; Chordata; Mammalia; Carnivora; Felidae. The record is from RefSeq and is a predicted model, not a curated record. The transcript is spliced from 6 exons.